CUUAGAAGCAACACUCUCCAGAAUAUCUCCAACCCCACACUUAGAAGCAACACUCUCCAGAAUAUCUCCAACUACACACUUAGAAACAGCACUCUCCAGAAUAUCUCCAACUACACACUUAGAAGCAACACUUAGAUGAAGCAACCAAGCUACACCAGCAUAUAUAUCCGUCUGCUGGAGGCCCAGGUGCUCAUUUUGCCCGGGGGCCCAGGCCACUGUCAGUCCGUCCCUGAUGGGAACCAAAAAAUCACAAUCAGGAAUUUAUUGUGAACAAUAUCAUUAGCAGGAAUCAACGUGGAUUUAUAAGAUCAGGCCCUGGGGAGAUAGCGCAGCUAAGCGGACAAGGGCACAUGUAGGAGUGUGGG
Molecule: non-coding RNA, 365 nt
Organism: Pelobates cultripes (western spadefoot toad)
Lineage: Eukaryota; Metazoa; Chordata; Amphibia; Anura; Pelobatidae
Source: the annotation of a GenBank genome assembly